AUGUUAGUUUUAUUUCUUCAAACAUUUUUCAAAUAUUUUCAUUAAAAAAGGAAAAAAAAAAAAAACUAUAUAAAAAAAAAGCUAUUCCUGUUUGCUUGAAAGAUGUUUGCAAGCGUGUAUUUUA
RNAcentral lists this non-coding RNA (124 nucleotides) under Aurantiochytrium limacinum. Lineage: Eukaryota; Bigyra; Thraustochytrida; Thraustochytriidae. The record is from RNAcentral.